GAUGAACGCUGGCGGCGUGCCUAAUACAUGCAAGUCGAACGCUGAAGGAGGAGCUUGCUCUUCUGGAUGAGUUGCGAACGGGUGAGUAACGCGUAGGUAACCUGCCUGGUAGCGGGGGAUAACUAUUGGAAACGAUAGCUAAUACCGCAUGACAACAGUUAUUGCAUGAUAACUGUUUAAAAGGGGCAACUGCUCCACUACCAGAUGGACCUGCGUUGUAUUAGCUAGUUGGUGAGGUAACGGCUCACCAAGGCGACGAUACAUAGCCGACCUGAGAGGGUGAUCGGCCACACUGGGACUGAGACACGGCCCAGACUCCUACGGGAGGCAGCAGUAGGGAAUCUUCGGCAAUGGACGGAAGUCUGACCGAGCAACGCCGCGUGAGUGAAGAAGGUUUUCGGAUCGUAAAGCUCUGUUGUAAGAGAAGAACGAGUGUGAGAGUGGAAAGUUCACACUGUGACGGUAUCUUACCAGAAAGGGACGGCUAACUACGUG
This 495-nucleotide ribosomal RNA is filed under the name uncultured bacterium. RNAcentral's name for it is "partial 16S ribosomal RNA". It matches the Rfam family "Bacterial small subunit ribosomal RNA", at positions 28 to 507 of the family's 1533-position model. The record is from RNAcentral.